UUCGCAAUGCCCGAAAGGGUGACGAAGCGACGCCGCGUGGGUGAGGAAGGCCCUCGGGUUGUAAAGCCCUGUCAGGAGUUAAGAAAUGUAAGUGCGCUAAUAUCGCAUUUAUUUGACGAAGGCUCCAAAGGAAGCCACGGCUAACUCUGUGCCAGCAGCCGCGGUAAUACAGAGGUGGCAAGCGUUGUUCGGAAUUAUUGGGCGUAAAGAGCACGUAGGUGGGUUUGUAAGUCAGAUGUGAAAGCCUUCUGUUCAACGGAAGAAUUGCAUCUGAAACUACAAGUCUUGAGUGUAGGAGGGGAGAAUGGAACUUCUGGUGGAGCGGUGAAAUGCGUAGAUAUCAGAAGGAACGCCGGCGGCGAAAGCGAUUCUCUGGCCUAUUACUGACACUCAGUAUGCGAAAGCUAGGGGAGCAAACGGGAUUAGAUACCCCGGUAGUCCUAGCCGUAAACGAUGGGCACUAAGUAGAGGGGUUUU
RNAcentral lists this ribosomal RNA (477 nucleotides) under Candidatus Scalindua brodae. RNAcentral's name for it is "bacterial SSU rRNA". It matches the Rfam family "Bacterial small subunit ribosomal RNA", at positions 365 to 832 of the family's 1533-position model. Lineage: Bacteria; Pseudomonadati; Planctomycetota; Candidatus Brocadiia; Candidatus Brocadiales; Candidatus Scalinduaceae. The record is from RNAcentral.